AACGAAGCACUUUUACAGAUUUCUUCGGAAUGAAGUUUAGUGACUGAGUGGCGGACGGGUGAGUAACGCGUGGGUAACCUGCCUUGUACAGGGGGAUAACAGUUGGAAACGGCUGCUAAUACCGCAUAAGCGCACGGCAUCGCAUGAUGCAGUGUGAAAACUCCGGUGGUAUAAGAUGGACCCGCGUUGGAUUAGCUAGUUGGCGGGGUAACGGCCCACCAAACCAACGAUGGAUAGGGGUUCUGAGAGGAAGGUCCCCACAUUGGAACUGAGACACGGUCCAAACUCC
RNAcentral lists this ribosomal RNA (289 nucleotides) under uncultured Eubacteriales bacterium. RNAcentral describes it as "uncultured Clostridiales bacterium partial 16S ribosomal RNA". It matches the Rfam family "Bacterial small subunit ribosomal RNA", at positions 65 to 339 of the family's 1533-position model. The record is from RNAcentral. Lineage: Bacteria; Bacillati; Bacillota; Clostridia; Eubacteriales.